This is a long non-coding RNA of Asterias rubens (European starfish), 363 nucleotides long. RefSeq lists it as uncharacterized. The transcript has 2 exons. The record is from RefSeq and is a predicted model, not a curated record. NCBI's taxonomy places the organism in Eukaryota, Metazoa, Echinodermata, Asteroidea, Forcipulatida, Asteriidae.
UCCCCUUGUGAAAAGGAGCAGGCCAUCAGAGGUUCAGGGAAAACCAACAAGUAUUGAGUUGCCAACUAAUCAGCAUCAUAUAGAAACAGAACAGUGGGCAUACUUUCUACACACAACAAAACCUCCAGUUUGCCAGCCACACUUGCAGCAUCUGUGAUAAAAACAUUUGACACAGACAUCUGAUACAUCAAUGAUAAUAAUGUUGAAGGAAAGCUGCGAUGAAAUCCUUAACUUUAAAACUUUACUUCAACAAUGAUAGCCCAUCAAUUUAAAUUUCCUUGUGCAUUGUAUUUACUACAAACAUUCUACAGCUACUCAAGUCAUUCCUGAUGAUUUAUGCACUUGCUUUUCUAAAAAAAAAAA